Long non-coding RNA from Dendronephthya gigantea, 201 nucleotides. RefSeq lists it as uncharacterized. The transcript is spliced from 4 exons. The record is from RefSeq and is a predicted model, not a curated record. NCBI's taxonomy places the organism in Eukaryota, Metazoa, Cnidaria, Anthozoa, Malacalcyonacea, Nephtheidae.
CCGUAUAUGAAGCAAUAGCUUCCUGGAUAGAAACGGCCUCUCUACCGAUUGUUUUGUUGGGAGCCAAAGGAGUGGGAAAGACAACCACGCUAAUCAUGUUACAUGAAUCAUGCAAAAGACCGAAACAUUAUUUUGACCUUUCAAGUGAUCACGACGUGGUGCGCUUGUCUGAAAAAUUGAAGACUAUAUCGCCAUUAUCGG